UACGAAGGUGGCAAGCGUUGUUCGGAUUUACUGGGCGUACAGGGAGCGUAGGCGGUUGGAUAAGCCCUCCGUGAAAUCUCCAGGCUUAACCUGGAAAGUGCAGAGGGGACUGUUCAGCUAGAGGAUGGGAGAGGAGCGCGGAAUUCCCGGUGUAGCGGUGAAAUGCGUAGAGAUCGGGAGGAAGGCCGGUGGCGAAGGCGGGUCUCUGGUCCGGCAUUGACGCUGAGGAGCGAAAGCCAGGGGAGCAAACGGG
This 253-nucleotide ribosomal RNA is filed under the name uncultured bacterium. Its description in RNAcentral is "partial 16S ribosomal RNA". It matches the Rfam family "Bacterial small subunit ribosomal RNA", at positions 524 to 776 of the family's 1533-position model. The record is from RNAcentral.